UAAGAUCUUUUGAUGAAAUCUGAGAGGUUUUUUUUUAUCCCCAUAGAAAGCAAUGAAAUGACAACAUUCAAGGUCCAGAAAGGUACUAAAGACAUCAUUAAAAUAGUCAAGGUGACUGCAGUGGUUCAACCUUAAUUUUAUGAAGCGACGAGAAUACUUUUUGUGCGCAAAAACAAAAAUGACUUUAACUAACAGACGUGAUCCACAGAUCCAGCUGACACAGCAUCAGAAACUGAAGUCAGUGUGACUGCUGGAUCAUUAUUCAGAGUGAUUGUGAUCAUUGUUGAGAUGGCAGUGUUUGCUGCUCCUACUGUGAUUCUUCUUCAGAUCAUCUGUGCAAGAAGAGCUGGGAGGAAGGACUCGCAGCACCCAGAGGAAAUAGAGAUGCCUACAAUAUUACAAUAAAAUACUGCUGAGUUUGGAGACAAUCUGAAACAAGAUUUAAGUCAAGUCAAGUCACUUCAUUUAACGCCCCCCAAAAAAGCGUGUCUUAACCCAUUUUGCGACAUGGCUGCAGUUGU
Ctenopharyngodon idella (grass carp) is the source of this 521-nucleotide long non-coding RNA. RefSeq lists it as uncharacterized. Lineage: Eukaryota; Metazoa; Chordata; Actinopteri; Cypriniformes; Xenocyprididae. The transcript has 3 exons. The record is from RefSeq and is a predicted model, not a curated record.